GACGAACGCUGGCGGCGUGCUUAACACAUGCAAGUCGAACGGAAAGGCCCUGCUUUUGUGGGGUGCUCGAGUGGCGAACGGGUGAGUAACACGUGAGUAACCUGCCCUUGACUUUGGGAUAACUUCAGGAAACUGGGGCUAAUACCGGAUAGGAGCUCCUGCUGCAUGGUGGGGGUUGGAAAGUUUCGGCGGUUGGGGAUGGACUCGCGGCUUAUCAGCUUGUUGGUGGGGUAGUGGCUUACCAAGGCUUUGACGGGUAGCCGGCCUGAGAGGGUGACCGGCCACAUGGGGACUGAGAUACGGCCCAGACUCCUACGGGAGGCAGCAGUGGGGAAUAUUGCACAAUGGGCGGAAGCCUGAUGCAGCAACGCCGCGUGCGGGAUGACGGCCUUCGGGUUGUAAACCGCUUUCGCCUGUGACGAAGCGCGAGUGACGGUAAUGGGUAAAGAAGCACCGGCUAACUACGUG
RNAcentral lists this ribosomal RNA (468 nucleotides) under uncultured bacterium. RNAcentral's name for it is "partial 16S ribosomal RNA". It matches the Rfam family "Bacterial small subunit ribosomal RNA", at positions 28 to 507 of the family's 1533-position model. The record is from RNAcentral.